RNAcentral lists this ribosomal RNA (632 nucleotides) under uncultured marine eukaryote. RNAcentral's name for it is "SSU rRNA". It matches the Rfam family "Eukaryotic small subunit ribosomal RNA", at positions 621 to 1257 of the family's 1831-position model. The record is from RNAcentral.
AAAAAGCUCGUAGUUGGAUUUCUGUCGAAGACGGCCGGUCCGCUCUUUGAGCGUGUAUCUGGUUCGGCUUUGGCAUCCUCGUGGGGUACGUAACUGUGCUUGGUUGCAUGGUGCGGAAUUCACGACUUUUACUUUGAGGAAAUUAGAGUGUUCACGGCAGGCAUGAGCCUUGAAUACAUUAGCAUGGAAUAAUAAUAUAGGACUUUGGUUUUAUUUUGUUGGUUUCUAGAACUAAAGUAAUGAUUAAUAGGGAUAAUUGGGGGCAUUUGUAUUAACGCGUCAGAGGUGGAAUUCUUGGAUUGCGUUACGACAAACUACUGCGAAAGCAUUUGCCAAGGAUGUUUUCAUUGAUCAAGAACGAAAGUAUGGGGAUCGAAGAUGAUUAGAUACCGUCGUAGUCUAUACCAUAAACUAUGCCGACUAGAGAUUGGAGGCCGUUCUUUCUAUGACUCCUUCAGCACCUUAUGAGAAAUCAAAGUCUUUGGGUUCCGGGGGGAGUAUGGUCGCAAGGCUGAAACUUAAAGGAAUUGACGGAAGGGCACCACCAGGAGUGGAGCCUGCGGCUUAAUUUGACUCAACACGGGAAAACUCACCAGGUCCAGACAUAGUAAGGAUUGACAGAUUGAUAGCUC